GAUGAACGCUGGCGGCGUGCCUAAUACAUGCAAGUCGAGCGAACAGACGAGGAGCUUGCUCCUCUGACGUUAGCGGCGGACGGGUGAGUAACACGUGGAUAACCUACCUAUAAGACUGGGAUAACUUCGGGAAACCGGAGCUAAUACCGGAUAAUAUAUUGAACCGCAUGGUUCAAUAGUGAAAGACGGUUUUGCUGUCACUUAUAGAUGGAUCCGCGCCGCAUUAGCUAGUUGGUAAGGUAACGGCUUACCAAGGCAACGAUGCGUAGCCGACCUGAGAGGGUGAUCGGCCACCCUGGAACUGAGACACGGUCCGGACUCCUACGGGAGGAAGCAGUAGGGAAUCUUACGCAAUGGGCGAAAGCCUGACGGAGCAACGCCGCGUGAGUGAUGAAGGUCUUCGGAUCGUAAAACUCUGUUAUUAGGGAAGAACAAAUGUGUAAGUAACUAUGCACGUCUUGACGGUACCUAAUCAGAAAGCCACGGCUAACUACGUG
RNAcentral lists this ribosomal RNA (497 nucleotides) under uncultured bacterium. Its description in RNAcentral is "partial 16S ribosomal RNA". It matches the Rfam family "Bacterial small subunit ribosomal RNA", at positions 28 to 507 of the family's 1533-position model. The record is from RNAcentral.